CCUACGGGGGGCUGCAGUGGGGAAUAUUGGACAAUGGGGGCAACCCUGAUCCAGCCAUGCCGCGUGUGUGAAGAAGGCCCUCGGGUUGUAAAGCACUUUCAGUGAGGAAGAACGCCUGGUGGUUAAUACCCAUCAGGAAAGACAUCACUCACAGAAGAAGCACCGGCUAACUCCGUGCCAGCAGCCGCGGUAAUACGGAGGGUGCGAGCGUUAAUCGGAAUUACUGGGCGUAAAGCGCGCAUAGGUGGCUUGAUAAGCCGGUUGUGAAAGCCCCGGGCUCAACCUGGGAACGGCAUCCGGAACUGUCAAGCUAGAGUGCAGGAGAGGAAGGUAGAAUUCCCGGUGUAGCGGUGAAAUGCGUAGAGAUCGGGAGGAAUACCAGUGGCGAAGGCGGCCUUCUGGACUGACACUGACACUGAGGUGCGAAAGCGUGGGUAGCAAACAGGAUUAGAUACCCCGGUAGUC
RNAcentral lists this ribosomal RNA (465 nucleotides) under Vreelandella stevensii. RNAcentral describes it as "partial 16S ribosomal RNA". It matches the Rfam family "Bacterial small subunit ribosomal RNA", at positions 338 to 795 of the family's 1533-position model. The record is from RNAcentral. Lineage: Bacteria; Pseudomonadati; Pseudomonadota; Gammaproteobacteria; Oceanospirillales; Halomonadaceae.